GGGUCUGUAGCUCAGUCGGUUAGAGCGCACCCCUGAUAAGGGUGAGGUCGGUGGUUCAAUUCCACCCAGACCCA
RNAcentral lists this transfer RNA (74 nucleotides) under Candidatus Kentrum sp. FW. Its description in RNAcentral is "Candidatus Kentron sp. FW tRNA_Ile_GAT". It matches the Rfam family "tRNA". From Rfam's summary of the family: Transfer RNA (tRNA) molecules are approximately 80 nucleotides in length. Their secondary structure includes four short double-helical elements and three loops (D, anti-codon, and T loops). RNAcentral also lists the same sequence under 1 other name. Lineage: Bacteria; Pseudomonadati; Pseudomonadota; Gammaproteobacteria. The record is from RNAcentral.